RNAcentral lists this ribosomal RNA (528 nucleotides) under uncultured archaeon. RNAcentral describes it as "bacterial SSU rRNA". It matches the Rfam family "Bacterial small subunit ribosomal RNA", at positions 509 to 1050 of the family's 1533-position model. The record is from RNAcentral.
CAGCCGCCGCGGUAAUACGUAGGGGGCGAGCGUUAUCCGGAUUUAUUGGGCGUAAAGCGUGUGUAGGCGGUUUAUUAAGUUUAAGAUUAAAGCCCGGGGCUCAACUCCGGUUCGUCUUAAAUACUGGUAGACUUGAGUGUGGUAGAGGCAAAUGGAAUUUCUAGUGUAGCGGUUAAAUGCGUAGAUAUUAGAAGGAACAUCAGUGGCGAAGGCGAUUUGCUGGGCCAUUACUGACGCUGAGACACGAAAGCGUGGGGAGCAAAUAGGAUUAGAUACCCUAGUAGUCCACGCCGUAAACGAUGAGUACUAAGUGUCGGGAAACCGGUGCUGAAGCUAACGCAUUAAGUACUCCGCCUGAGUAGUACGGUCGCAAGACUGAAACUCAAAGGAAUUGACGGGCACCCGCACAAGCGGUGGAGCAUGCUGUUUAAUUCGAAGCUACGCGAAGAACCUUACCUAGACUUGACAUCCCUGGCGAAGCUAUAGAAAUAUAGCAGAGGUUACCCAGGUGACAGGUGGUGCAUGGCC